RNAcentral lists this unclassified non-coding RNA (520 nucleotides) under uncultured Glomus. Its description in RNAcentral is "SSU rRNA". It matches the Rfam family "Eukaryotic small subunit ribosomal RNA", at positions 569 to 1089 of the family's 1831-position model. The record is from RNAcentral. Lineage: Eukaryota; Fungi; Glomeromycota; Glomeromycetes; Glomerales; Glomeraceae.
AGCAGCCGCGGUAAUUCCAGCUCCAAUAGCGUAUAUUAAAGUUGUUGCAGUUAAAAAGCUCGUAGUUGAAUUUCGGAAUCAAUGGAUCGGUCAUGCCACUCGGUGUGUACUGGUUUGAUUGGUUCUCACCUUCUAAGGAACCGUGAUGUCAUUAAUUUGGUGUCGCGGGGAAUUAGGACUGUUACCUUGAAAAAAUUAGAGUGUUUAAAGCAAGCUCACGCUUGAAUACAUUAGCAUGGAAUAAUGAAAUAGGACAUUGUAUUCUAUUUUGUUGGUUUCUAGGAUCGAUGUAAUGAUUAAUAGGGAUAGUUGGGGGCAUUAGUAUUCAAUUGUCAGAGGUGAAAUUCUUGGAUUUAUUGAAGACUAACUACUGCGAAAGCAUUUGCCAAGGAUGUUUUCAUUAAUCAAGAAUGAAAGUUAGGGGAUCGAAGACGAUCAGAUACCGUCGUAGUCUUAACCAUAAACUAUGCCGACUAGGGAUCGGAUGAUGUUAAUUUUUUAAUGACUCAUUCGGUGCCUU